This 1965-nucleotide long non-coding RNA is filed under the name Pan troglodytes (chimpanzee). Its description in RNAcentral is "long non-coding RNA NONPTRT015181". The stretch from base 160 to 232 matches the Rfam family "tRNA". The record is from RNAcentral. Lineage: Eukaryota; Metazoa; Chordata; Mammalia; Primates; Hominidae.
UGACACGAUAAAUGCGGAGAAUGAGUAGCCACUGCACCUUGCCCUGGGCCAUCAGUGAGAAGAUCUGCUCUUAGUAGAGCCCUGCUUUCCCGCUGAAGGCCCUGAAAUCCCCUGUGUUCCAGGCCACCCACUAAGGAUCAAUAAAGCUCCCCUGAUGUGGGGGAAUCAGCUCAAGUGGUAGAGCGCUUGCUUAGCAUGCAAGAGGUAGUGGGAUCGAUGCCCACAUUCUCCAAACUUUAUUAUUUAGACCCUGGGUCUCCAAACACUCAGGUCUCCAAACCCAAGUCAGAGAACAAGAUGCUGCUUUGGUUCAAGACGUAGGAGCAGCAACAAUACAGGGCUGGUGACGGCUCCCUCCUGGCAUUCAGUAUAGUGUAGAUCUACCGUGUAAUUAAUUUUCUGCUUCUUUGAGGAGCUGUGAAACCAAGGGACAUAAACAAUUGCUCUUUUCUCCCUGUUUCUGCCUGUAGCUUGAAUGUGAGGCAACUGUGAAAAGUGCAGGGCAGAGCCACCUGGGUAAUACAGCCCUGGCUUUCUGGUGAGAGGACUGAAACCAGGAUGUGUCAAGUAACUAGAAUGUGCCUGGACAGAUACUGUAGAAAGCAAACACAUAAAGUUGUUCAUGAGCUUGUGGACGCACCUGCCAGCUGUGAAUAAGUAGCCCUAAUUCCAAACAACUUACCUAAAAAGAGCCUGAGGACUGAACUGAACAAUGGUCCACUUUCCAGUCCUCACUGACCACUGGUUGCACACACUCCAGAGAUCUCUCAACCGCAGUGUCAAGGCUUUCAAAUAGAGUUAUCUGUGAAACAACAACACAUGGAAGUCUGGUUGGUACUUGGAGCUUAAAUACAAGGCAAUUGUGUGCCUGCAAAAACAAAAAUAGCAAUAUUAUCCUUAAGAUUUCAACAAGACACAGUGUCUCAUCACAUAAUCCAAAGAAGUCCAGGUUACAAGCCCCAAAAUAUUCAGCAUUAUGAAAAACCAGGGAGAUCUUAAUUCACAUGGCAAAGAGAAUCCUUGAAUAACAAUAUUGAGAGGACACAUAUGUCAAAAUCAUCUGACACACACAUUAAAGCAGUUAUUAUAACAAUGCUCCUAGAAUUACGGGAUAGCAUUCAUGAAGUGAAUGGAAAGUUGGAAAGUCUCACCAAAUAUUUGGAAUAUGUAAACACCAAUUUAAACUUAAGAAUUAAAAAAAGUAUUAACCAAAACUCUUAGGGGAAAUAAAAAGCUUAAUUGGAUGAUCUCAAUAGCAGUAUGCAGAAGACUAAGGAAAAAGUCAAUGAACUUGAAAACGGAACAAGAAUACCUACAGAAUCUGACCUAUAGAAAGAAAGGAGGAUUUUAUUGUCCCUGAACAGACGCUCAGGGACAAAUAAAAAAUAACAAAUCUAACAUUCACAUUAUUGUAAUCUGGAAACAUUCACAUUAUUGUAAGAGGACAAAGAGGUCUUUGUGGGAUAAAACUGUGAAGAAUUAAUGGCUGAAAAUAUAUCAAAUUUCUCAAAAGAUAUAAACCAGAUUUUUAAAGUUCAGUAAAUGUCAAGCAGGAUAAACCAAAAGAAACCCAUUGCAAGACAUAUCGUAAUCAAACUGCGGAAAAUCAAGAAAACACAAAACAAUUUUGAAAGAAGCCAAAGGGAAAUGAAAGAUAAAAUACCAAAUGAAUGAUUGUAGAUUUCUCAUCUGGAACCCAGGAGCCAGAAAAAAAUGUCAUAACAUUCAGUAAAUACCAAAGGAAAAAUACAUUAUCAAUCCAGAAUGGUAUGUGGAGCAAAAGUAUCUUCCAGACUUAAAGGCAAAUAAAUACAUUCUCAUUGGAAGGUAAAUAAAUACAUUCUCAGUCCUAGCAAAACUGCUGGAAAAGAAUUAGCAAAGCUUUGAGAUAAGAAAAGUGAUACCAGAAGGAAACUUAGAACAUCAUCAAUGAAGGAACAAAAGCAGAAAUAGAAAAUGUCUGGG